Molecule: ribosomal RNA, 512 nt
Filed under: uncultured bacterium
Lineage: Bacteria
Description: bacterial SSU rRNA
Rfam family: Bacterial small subunit ribosomal RNA
Source: RNAcentral
UAGUCCACGCCGUAAACGAUGGUUACUAGCUGUUCGGACUUCGGUCUGAGUGGCUAAGCGAAAGUGAUAAGUAACCCACCUGGGGAGUACGUUCGCAAGAAUGAAACUCAAAGGAAUUGACGGGGGCCCGCACAAGCGGUGGAGCAUGUGGUUUAAUUCGAUGAUACGCGAGGAACCUUACCAGGGCUUAAAUGUAAAGUGACAGGACUAGAGAUAGUUUUUUCUUCGGACACUUUACAAGGUGCUGCAUGGUUGUCGCCAGCUCGUGCCGUGAGGUGUCAGGUUAAGUCCUAUAACGAGCGCAACCCCUGUUGUUAGUUGCCAGCAUGUAAAGAUGGGAACUCUAACAAGACUGCCCGCGUAAGCGGAGAGGAAGGUGGGGACGACGGUCAAAUCAUCAUGGCCUUUAUGCCUAGGGCUACACACGUGCUACAAUGGCAGGUACAGAGGUUGCGAAGGGGUGACCUGGAGCUAAUCUCAGAAAGCCUGUCCCAGUUCGGAUUGGAGCCUGC